Molecule: long non-coding RNA, 122 nt
Organism: Tympanuchus pallidicinctus (lesser prairie-chicken)
Lineage: Eukaryota; Metazoa; Chordata; Aves; Galliformes; Phasianidae
Exons: 3
Source: RefSeq, a predicted model, not a curated record
GUCACAUUGAAGUGACAUCGGGGUCACAUUGGGGUCACAUUGAAGUGACAUCGGGGUCACAUUGGGGUCACACAGGGGUCACAUUGAAGUGACAUCGGGGUCACAUUGAGGUCACAGUGGGG